GGAAACAUAGUACAACGGUAGAACGGUCGCCUGUUAAGCGACAAAUGAAUGUUCGACUCAUUCUGUUUCCG
This 71-nucleotide transfer RNA is filed under the name Chitinophagaceae bacterium. RNAcentral describes it as "tRNA-Asn". It matches the Rfam family "tRNA". Rfam says of the family: Transfer RNA (tRNA) molecules are approximately 80 nucleotides in length. Their secondary structure includes four short double-helical elements and three loops (D, anti-codon, and T loops). Further hydrogen bonds mediate the characteristic L-shaped molecular structure. tRNAs have two regions of fundamental functional importance: the anti-codon, which is responsible for specific mRNA codon recognition, and the 3' end, to which the tRNAs corresponding amino acid is attached (by aminoacyl-tRNA synthetases). tRNAs cope with the degeneracy of the genetic code in two manners: having more than one tRNA (with a specific anti-codon) for a particular amino acid; and 'wobble' base-pairing, i.e. permitting non-standard base-pairing at the 3rd anti-codon position. Lineage: Bacteria; Pseudomonadati; Bacteroidota; Chitinophagia; Chitinophagales; Chitinophagaceae. The record is from RNAcentral.